AAGCGCGCGUAGGUGGUUUGUUAAGUUGGAUGUGAAAUCCCCGGGCUCAACCUGGGAACUGCAUUCAAAACUGACUGACUAGAGUAUGGUAGAGGGUGGUGGAAUUUCCUGUGUAGCGGUGAAAUGCGUAGAUAUAGGAAGGAACACCAGUGGCGAAGGCGACCACCUGGACUGAUACUGACACUGAGGUGCGAAAGCGUGGGGAGCAAACAGGAUUAGAUACCCCUGGU
Molecule: ribosomal RNA, 230 nt
Filed under: uncultured bacterium
Lineage: Bacteria
Description: partial 16S ribosomal RNA
Rfam family: Bacterial small subunit ribosomal RNA
Source: RNAcentral